Molecule: non-coding RNA, 107 nt
Organism: Helianthus annuus (common sunflower)
Lineage: Eukaryota; Viridiplantae; Streptophyta; Magnoliopsida; Asterales; Asteraceae
Source: Rfam
AGUCCAUGGUGCGGACAUUUUCUUAAAUGUUCUUUAAACCGUUCCCAUGUUUUGUAUAAAGAUUCCCCAUUCUCUAGAAGAAAAGAAUUAAUUCCAGUCAUUAAUUU